UCUCUCAAACAAACAAACAAAUAUAUCAAAAUAUGCCCACAAUGUAUCCCUGUUUCUCUCACUCUCUCCAUCUGUUUCUGUUUCUCUCUAUUAUUCACACAAGCACAAACCCUAGACCACCAUUCAAAACCACCACCACCAAAAAUGUCUCACGCCAUGGUGGCGUCGCCCUAUUUCCCCACCGUGAGGUCAGCGGCGAACUCACCAAGGCAGAGAGCAAACACGAAGAAGGUGACUAACACGAAACGAAACAGGAGCAGCGCUGGAGCAGCAGUGGGGUUCGGUGGAGAGAUGAAGGAAGUUCGGUAGCAGUGCGUGUAGCCGCCUACACUCUACCAUUGCUAAUCCUCUCGAUUUCAGACCUCUUUCAUCAGGGGGGGAAAAGCACAUUGGAAAACUGCCAAGUUUUACAGGUUUGGCUUUUAUUUCCUUGUAUUAUUAUUGCAUUUGUGUGGUAUCAGGUUUUGUUGUGUUUCUUCAUAGCAUGUUUUCUGUUAUACAAGGCUGACGCAUUUUUUUUUCCCCUUCCUGGAAGUAAUGCUAUCAAUAUAUUAAUGCAGUUCACUUCACUGAAGUGGUACAGUACCCAAAGUCACUCUCUUGUAACGGUUCAAUUCAUUGUGCAUUUAGAAUUUGGGGAAGGUUAGCUAUAUGACAA
Molecule: non-coding RNA, 658 nt
Organism: Camellia sinensis
Lineage: Eukaryota; Viridiplantae; Streptophyta; Magnoliopsida; Ericales; Theaceae
Source: RefSeq, a predicted model, not a curated record